GACGAACGCUGGCGGCGUGCUUAACACAUGCAAGUCGAACGAAGAGCGACGGAAGCUUGCUUCUAUCAAUCUUAGUGGCGAACGGGUGAGUAACGCGUAAUCAACCUGCCCUUCAGAGGGGGACAACAGUUGGAAACGACUGCUAAUACCGCAUACGAUCUAAUCUCGGCAUCGAGGAUAGAUGAAAGGUGGCCUCUACAUGUAAGCUAUCACUGAAGGAGGGGAUUGCGUCUGAUUAGCUAGUUGGAGGGGUAACGGCCCACCAAGGCGAUGAUCAGUAGCCGGUCUGAGAGGAUGAACGGCCACAUUGGGACUGAGACACGGCCCAGACUCCUACGGGAGGCAGCAGUGGGGAAUCUUCCGCAAUGGACGAAAGUCUGACGGAGCAACGCCGCGUGAGUGAUGACGGCCUUCGGGUUGUAAAGCUCUGUUAAUCGGGACGAAAGGCCUUCUUGCAAA
This 459-nucleotide ribosomal RNA is filed under the name Veillonella parvula. RNAcentral describes it as "bacterial SSU rRNA". It matches the Rfam family "Bacterial small subunit ribosomal RNA", at positions 28 to 464 of the family's 1533-position model. Lineage: Bacteria; Bacillati; Bacillota; Negativicutes; Veillonellales; Veillonellaceae. The record is from RNAcentral.